UGAAUUGGCUGACUGCAAACUUCCUUUCUGUUUUUUCGUGAAUUCUACUAAAGAAGCUGAUGCAUUACACAGUGGUGGAAACUUGGAAGACAUUCAAUCUCCUGAUCAGAAGGCUAAUAUCUCUGCAGAAAUUUUUGAGCUGAUUAAGAGUAACUUGUGCCAUAAAGAGGUACGGACCAGUUUUGAAAAAGCAGGAUUCAAUAUUCAGAUGCAAGAUGUUGUUCAUGACAGGAUUCGUCAGUUAGAUGGGAAUGCUGAUCCUGAAAGUGCUCCAAGAAUUACGUAU
Long non-coding RNA from Macrobrachium nipponense, 286 nucleotides. RefSeq lists it as uncharacterized. NCBI's taxonomy places the organism in Eukaryota, Metazoa, Arthropoda, Malacostraca, Decapoda, Palaemonidae. The transcript has 3 exons. The record is from RefSeq and is a predicted model, not a curated record.